Molecule: transfer RNA, 75 nt
Filed under: Babesia ovis
Lineage: Eukaryota; Apicomplexa; Aconoidasida; Piroplasmida; Babesiidae
Rfam family: tRNA
About the family: Transfer RNA (tRNA) molecules are approximately 80 nucleotides in length.
Source: Rfam by way of RNAcentral
GCUGAUAUAGUUUAAAUAAGGUAAAAUAGCUAAUUUGUAAUUAGCCAGAUAAGAGUUCAAAUCUCCUUGUCAGCU